RNAcentral lists this long non-coding RNA (896 nucleotides) under Physcomitrium patens. RNAcentral's name for it is "long non-coding RNA (PPAT_LNC012070)". The record is from RNAcentral. Lineage: Eukaryota; Viridiplantae; Streptophyta; Bryopsida; Funariales; Funariaceae.
GGCCAACACCCUAGUAGAAUAUGAUGUUUUUCUCUCAUUUAAUAAGUUAAAUUCUCUUCAAAUUUUUUAUGCUUGUUUUUAAUUAAGAGAUUGAAAAGUAUGUAAAAUUUUAAGCAAGAUCAAUAGUUUAGGCAAUAGAUAUUGAGAUUCUAAACUACCUUAGGGUUGGUUUGAAUUGAUUAGGUUUCAAAUAGGAUUAGGAUUAGGAUUUUAUUAGGAUUUGAUUUAGAAUUUUUCUAGAAUUUGGUUAGGAUUUAGAGUUUAUUUAGAAUUUGUCUAAGAUUUGGUUAGGAUUUAGAAUUUAUUUAGAAUUGGUCAAGAUUUAGAGUUUGUUUAGGAUUUGGUUAAAAUUUGAUUAGAAUUUGGUUUAGGAUUUUUCUAAGAUUAGUCAAGGUUUAAAAUUUGAUUAGUUUUUUACUAAGAUUUUUUUAGGAUUUUUUUAGGAUUGAUUAAGGUUUAAGAUUUAUUUGAGAUUUGAUUAGAAUUUGAUUAUAAUUUGAUUAGGAUUUGACUAAGUUUUGUUUAGAAUUUUGUUAAUAUUUUUCUAAGAUUUUGUUAAAGUUUGAUUAGGAUUUGUUUAAGAUUUGUCUUGGAUUUGAUUAAAAUUUAAUUAGAAUUUACUUAGGUUUUUUUAUUUUUUUAUAAUUUAUUUAAAAUUUUAAUUUAACUUUGUCAAUAUUUGAUUAUGUUUGUUAAGCUUUAGUUCUAAUUUAUAUAUGAUUUUAUUAGAGUUUUUAGAACUUGUUAUUACAAAUUUCUUUCACCUUCCACAGCCAAAUGUCUGAUUUAUUUUCAAACAAGAUUUCACACAAUAUGAUAGUGUCUACCACUAUCAUGAUGUAACAUGGCUAAUAGGUGAAAGAGUGAAGAAAAAAUUAUAUUUUAGAAGAUCUUAU